RNAcentral lists this ribosomal RNA (253 nucleotides) under uncultured bacterium. Its description in RNAcentral is "partial 16S ribosomal RNA". It matches the Rfam family "Bacterial small subunit ribosomal RNA", at positions 524 to 776 of the family's 1533-position model. The record is from RNAcentral.
UACGUAGGGUGCAAGCGUUGUCCGGAAUUAUUGGGCGUAAAGAGCUCGUAGGCGGUUUGUCGCGUCUGCCGUGAAAGUCCGGGGCUCAACUCCGGAUCUGCGGUGGGUACGGGCAGACUAGAGUGAUGUAGGGGAGACUGGAAUUCCUGGUGUAGCGGUGGAAUGCGCAGAUAUCAGGAGGAACACCGAUGGCGAAGGCAGCUCGCUGGGACGGUACUGACGCUGAGGCGCGAAAGCGUGGGGAGCAAACAGG